RNAcentral lists this ribosomal RNA (461 nucleotides) under uncultured bacterium. RNAcentral's name for it is "bacterial SSU rRNA". It matches the Rfam family "Bacterial small subunit ribosomal RNA", at positions 340 to 786 of the family's 1533-position model. The record is from RNAcentral.
UACGGAAGGCAGCAGUGGGGAAUAUUGCACAAUGGGCGCAAGCCUGAUGCAGCCAUGCCGCGUGUAUGAAGAAGGCCUUCGGGUUGUAAAGUACUUUCAGCGGGGAGGAAGGCGGUGAAGUUAAUAGCUUCACCGAUUGACGUUACCCGCAGAAGAAGCACCGGCUAACUCCGUGCCAGCAGCCGCGGUAAUACGGAGGGUGCAAGCGUUAAUCGGAAUUACUGGGCGUAAAGCGCACGCAGGCGGUCUGUCAAGUCGGGAUGUGAAAUCCCCCGGGCUUAACCUGGGAACUGCAUUCGAAACUGGCAGGCUAGAGUCUUGUAGAGGGGGUAGAAAUUCCAGGUGUAGCGGUGAAAUGCGUAGAGAUCUGGAGGAAUACCGGUGGCGAAAGGCGGCCCCCUGGGACAAAAGACUGACGCUCAGGUGCGAAAAGCGUGGGGAGCAAACAGGGAUUAGAUACC